RNAcentral lists this ribosomal RNA (492 nucleotides) under uncultured bacterium. RNAcentral's name for it is "partial 16S ribosomal RNA". It matches the Rfam family "Bacterial small subunit ribosomal RNA", at positions 29 to 507 of the family's 1533-position model. The record is from RNAcentral.
AGUGAGCGCUGUCGGUAGGCCUAACACAUGCAAGUCGAACGGCAGCACAGUAAGAGCUUGCUCUUACGGGUGGCGAGUGGCGGACGGGUGAGGAAUACAUCGGAAUCUACUUUUUCGUGGGGGAUAACGUAGGGAAACUUACGCUAAUACCGCAUACGACCUACGGGUGAAAGCAGGGGAUCUUCGGACCUUGCGCGAUUGAAUGAGCCGAUGUCGGAUUAGCUAGUUGGCGGGGUAAAGGCCCACCAAGGCGACGAUCCGUAGCUGGUCUGAGAGGAUGAUCAGCCACACUGGAACUGAGACACGGUCCAGACUCCUACGGGAGGCAGCAGUGGGGAAUAUUGGACAAUGGGCGCAAGCCUGAUCCAGCCAUACCGCGUGGGUGAAGAAGGCCUUCGGGUUGUAAAGCCCUUUUGUUGGGAAAGAAAAGCAGCAGGUUAAUACCCCGCUGUUCUGACGGUACCCAAAGAAUAAGCACCGGCUAACUUCGUG